Long non-coding RNA from Tupaia belangeri chinensis (Chinese tree shrew), 2183 nucleotides. RefSeq lists it as uncharacterized. The transcript has 3 exons. The record is from RefSeq and is a predicted model, not a curated record. NCBI's taxonomy places the organism in Eukaryota, Metazoa, Chordata, Mammalia, Scandentia, Tupaiidae.
AGAGAGAGAAAAUUGCCAAUCCUCCUGUGGCGGACAGUGUGCUCCUAUUUAGCCCUGCUCCCAGCCUUCCACUCUUAGAGGUUGAUUCCAGUCAUAUAUAUUUACUUGAAUGAAAAACUGGAGUCUGUUGUUCCAGCCCUUCUCUGAGAGGCCAUCUAAGUGAUGGCAGCCGUGCUCCUGACAGCUUGGCCCCAGGUGAGCUUUGGGCGCUUAGCUCCUCCUGGCAGUUUCACAGUGAGGAGAACUGAGAAGGGGAGCUGCUGGGCCUUGGGAUGAGAACUGCUUCCACCUGCUGGAUUGUGGGAAAGAUGUGAUAUGGGUGGGGGGGCUGCAGGGGCAGGACUGUGAGGAGCCAGAGGCAGCAAGAGAGUGAAUCCAGGGAGCAGAAGGUGGCCUCUGCACACCGGGAGGUGGGGGGUCCUUGUUCCUCUGUGCAGGAGUACCCCAGCUCUUGGUGAGCAGGGAUGUGGAAGCUCUCAUAUAUGAAGAUCUGUGCCUAGAUGUGAUUGGAGGAGAAUCACGGAUAAUUGAGAGUCUUGAUGGCAGGAGAGAGGAGUAGAGGACCAGAUAAGUGAGAAGGGUGGCCAUGCUUCUAAUCCUGGCAGUGGGGAGGGUGACAUGGGGUCAAGGAGGGAAAAGACAGGCAGUCCUGUCAGGUAGAGUAUCUCAUUGUGUCCUUGUGAAGCUUUCAGGGCUUAGGGUGCAGUGCCCCAGCCUUUAGGUCUCUGAUAAGGAUCUCUACCUUGGCCUUCCUCCAAAUAAACCUGCAAACCAAAUUGAUCAUACAUGUUCAGGGACUUCAUGGAACCUCUGAAGCUCAUCUUUGGACCUCAUUGACUACAGGUUGGGAAUAGCAUAGUCACAGUGACACCAGGAACAUCCUUUGAGGCUCACUCCACUGUGGGUCCCAUGACAAGUUCUUUGCAUGGCUCAUUCAGUUCUGACAGCCACUCCCUGUGUUGUACUUAGUCUACUACAGAGGAAGAGAGUAACCUAGCCCUGGUCACAAAGUUGUGGGAUUCAUGAUUGCUCUGCCAUCUGACAGCUGUGGAGCCAGGACUGUUAACUUGGGCAGGUUUGGUGCAGCCAUGUGUGGAGUAAUUUUCAGGGCAAAUGCAAAAGCAAAGUGACCACCACUGCUUCAGGUGGUGUGGGCUUCUUUAAGGAAAGUAAGGAGAAGGAAUCAAUUUAGAUAAUGCCUAGGAUGUGAAAAUCUUAAGGAUGUAGAGAGUCAGAGGAUUAGGGAAGGGGCAAGGAGAGGGGAGAAUUGAGAGAUUUCUAGCUGAGGCUUCCUGUGUGGAUGGUGCUGACACCAGCUGAAGGAUGAGUUCAGCGGAAGGUGGCACAUGGUGAAAGCAUUUAGGCAUUUCAUUUUGUGCAGAGAAGUUACCCUGUCUGAGGUCAUGCAGAGGACCCACUGUAAUGCUCAGAGUGGACUAGAAUUUUUGGUGGGUGAAUGAGGAUAUGGAAGCUGCCCUUGGGUAAUGUUCUGUGCAUGGAUGUGAUUGGAGGACAUCAGUAGAAUCAAGGAGAGUAAAUCUUGGCGAAGAGGAGCUGAGAGGUGAAUGCCACCAGUGAGUCCCCAAGGUUGAUAGAGAUGGUGGGGAUGGACAGAGGAAGCCAGCUAGAGGCUGCAGCUGUGCAGACAGAGGAGCUGGGCAUGGGAGUGAUGUGCAGCAUCAGUCGGGAUGGCAGAACACGUGCAACCCUAUGGCUUAGUGACAGAGAAGCCAGAAGGGUGGCAGCAUAGCUGGCCAGUGGGAAGGCUGGUCUACUUUCUUCCCAAACCUUCUUGGAGAAACAAUGAUGUUUUCAAAGGAGGUGGACAGAAUGAGGGGAGAAUGGGAGAAGGUAACAGGAGAUGCUUUGUUUAGUGAGAUCCUCCUCCCCACCAGUCUGGGCAGCACUAGAGGUGCUUGAGUAGAGGUCAUGUGGCUCCUCAUUGGGGAGCCUCUGGUGGGUAAGAGGGAAGGUGGGGUCUGGAUGAGACUGAAACCAUGACUAUUCUUCGGGAGUGGCUUGAGGUGUGAGUGUGAGGUGUGGGGUAUGGAAUGGGGUUGAGGUUAGGUGCGGAGGAACCAAGACCUCAAGGGGACACAGUGGAAACUGGUUGCGUUUAGGUACCGAGUCACCACAGAUGGAGUAGCCUAUCUAAAAGAGUGGAGUUACUUUAGGGAAAUUUG